AUUUAGACAUGCGACUGACGGAAACAGAGUGAUCUGUGUAGGGGUACCUACAGGGAGCAUGUGAAUAAAGAAGAGCCGACCGUCUGGGCAAACACA
This 96-nucleotide non-coding RNA is filed under the name Firmicutes bacterium CAG:95. RNAcentral describes it as "ZMP/ZTP riboswitch aptamer (pfl RNA motif)". It matches the Rfam family "ZMP/ZTP riboswitch aptamer (pfl RNA motif)". Rfam says of the family: Previously known as pfl RNA. ZMP is also known as AICAR. The record is from Rfam by way of RNAcentral. RNAcentral also lists the same sequence under 1 other name. Lineage: Bacteria; Bacillati; Bacillota.